Vitis vinifera (wine grape) is the source of this 5790-nucleotide long non-coding RNA. RefSeq lists it as uncharacterized. Lineage: Eukaryota; Viridiplantae; Streptophyta; Magnoliopsida; Vitales; Vitaceae. The record is from RefSeq and is a predicted model, not a curated record. The transcript is spliced from 3 exons.
UAUGACUCUGGCAACAUGUGAACUCAUAUGGCUGAAACAUCUUCUUCGGGAGUUGAGAUUUGGAAAGGAUGAACAGAUGAAGCUCAUCUGUGACAACCAAGCCGCUUUGCAUAUUGCAUCCAAUCCAGUCUUCCAUGAAAGGACCAAACACAUUGAAGUUGACUGUCGCUUCAUUAGAAAGAAGAUUGCAUCAGGAUGUGUGGCGACUAGUUUUGUUAAUUCAAAUGAUCAACUAGCAAAUAUUUUUACUAAAUAUCUCAGAGGUCCUAGAAUUAAAUACAUUUGUAACAAGCUUGGUGCAUAUAACAUAUAUGCUCCAGCUUGAGGGGGAGUGUUAGAUAAUGUAUAGUUAUUUUAGGUUAUUUACUUUUCCUUUUCCUUUUCUUUCCUUACUAUAUUGUGGGUCCCACUAGCAUGUAUAUAUAUACCCAAGUCCAAUGUGUAUUCUUUACAGUUUUUCAAUAACAAUAAUUAGGGAUUCUCCCUUUUCUCUCUCUCUCUUCACUAAGAUGAUUGUGGACUUCUAUAAGGAGUUGAGGAGUGUGGCUUUGGAAAAGUUUUUGGUGGGAAGGUCACACUUGUAGUUUAUGGGUGAUGCCAAAUUUUUUUCAAAGGCUAGGGUAGUAGAUUUGUUAAGUCAAGUUUAUUUUUACUGGUAUGUGGAUAUAUAUCAAGUCUUGAAAUAAAUUGACAUAAGCGCUCAUUACUGUUAACUAAUGUUAGUUAGGAUCAAAUUAUAGUUUUGGUAACCUUGCUAAAUUGUAAAUUGGCUUUUGACAUAUUUGGGUCCUCUGAGGGGAAACCCUAAAGUUGCUUCGCUUUAGGAUCAUAUACUAGACAAAAUUUCUCGAAGAUUAGAUGGUAGGAAGAAAGUAUUCCUGCCUUAGGCCAUAGAAUAAUCCUUGUUUAGCCUUGCUUGUCUCACAUUCUCAUUUACUUUCUAUUAGUGUUCAGGAUUUUGACCAAGUUGGCGUUUAAAAUCAAGAAAUUAGAGAGGGAUUUUUUAUGGUUUGGAACAUGGGAAGGAAAGAGAGAUUACCUAAUUAGUUGGGAUUCAUAGUGGGAGCUUGAGGAUGAAGUUGGGUUAGGUUUGAGAGGACUUUUAUAUGUAGAGAACCUUUUUCGGGAAGUUAUUGUGAAGUUUUCCAACAAAAGGAGUGGUUUAAGCAUAAGAUCAUCAUCAUGAAUAUCUAUAAGUCAUAUUCCAAUGGUUGGGAUGCUAACAAUGCAGUCGGGUGGUUGCAUCUUUGCCCUUGGAAGACUAUUCUACGACCUUUCUUGAAUUUUUCCCAUCUUACUUGUUUUCUUCUUUUGUAAGAGAUAGUACUAAGAUUCAUUUUUAGGAAGGUUUGUGGUGGGACAAUCAACUACCGUGUUCAAUUUUAAAUCUCUUCAAAGUAGCAAGAGUUAGAAGCUCCUUUAUUUCACCACAAUAGUUUUCUCUGGUCUUCUACAUCUUGAAACAUUAAUUUUUGUAGCAACCUUACUAUAAAAUUUGAGGAACAUAAGCUUCUUAUGUCCUCUUGAAUUUAUAUAUUCUUGUUGCCUUCCUUUCUAGGUGUGCCAGAUAGUUGACUUUCUUGAGCUUGUAUAGUGUAAACUAACUCCCUCUCUCCCCCUCUCACCCUUUUUCUCUCCUUCUCCUUAAGCUGUUAUUAUUUGGGUGCAUAAUGAAUAUCAUGCAUUAACACCCCUCCUCAUGUUUGAUCCUGCCCUAUAUGUGCUGUGGGAGGUUAUCUACAAUGCAUAUCAUGCUUCAACACCCAUGUCAUGUUUAGCCCUAUCCCAUACAUGCUGUGAGAGGUUUACCAUACCCUCUGUGGGAGGCAAACUGCAAUAGCAACAACCAAAUCACACAUGAUUAGAUAGAUAUAUAGAUGGGGAGAGAAUUUGAACCUAAGACCUUUAGUUAACUAGAGCUCUGAUACACUGUCGACUAAUCAAUUUUCUUAGAAAUUGAAGUUGUUAGGAUUUGAGCCCAUAAUGCAUAUCAUGCUUCAAUAUAUCUAACUUGUGAUCGAAAGCCCAAUUUAAGGUAAGGCCUUUGCAUGGGUGGUGGCCAAUGCAAAUGUUAAGACCAAUGACUUGCUACAUGUGAGGGAGGUCUUACAAAGAUAUCAAUCCGAAUUGUUGCAUUAUUGUCAUUGAUUAUGAAUCAAUGGAGCAUCUUUUUAUACACUAUCUAGUAACUCUGAGGCUUUGGCAUAAGUUGUUUGACUUGUGAGGAUAGAUUAAGUUCCCUAUAGUUACAUGAUUGAUACUAUUUCUUUUAGGAGAUUGAGUAGUCUUAGAAGUGGGGUACUUUGGUGUGUGGCUUAUCUUACUUUAAUAUGGAUAAUUUAAUAUAAAAAGAACACAAGGCUUUUCCAAGACAAAUUUAAGGAAAAUGGAGAUUUGGGAGUCCAUUUGAGAUUAUUCUUAUUUCUCUCCGUGUUAGAAAAUUUUUAUUUAGUGUUUAAUAUCAAACUUAAAAUAACAUUUAGGAUAUGAAGACAAAAACAUACCUUGAACCAUAAUGCUUAACUCAAUGGUUUGAAAAUCUUUAAGGAAUACCCUUGAUAUUUACUCUCCUAUUCCCUAAAAGAAUCUGAUGCCAAGACUCCUUUUUCCAGUAAAUCUGCUGCCCUGUUAGCAUACCUAGGCUGUCAAAGGACACAGCACUCUGAACUACUUGAGAGAUCAAGGAUUCUGCAAACUGGAUCAUCCAGUUUCAGAGCUCCCUCUUCCCCUUGAAUACCUGAGAGAACAAUAGCUGAAUCCGCUUCCACCAGCAUAUUUGUCGAGUCCAAAGUGAUGCCUCAGUCGAGCUGUCCAACAAAGCUAGAACUUGAGCCUUAGUGGCCAGUCCAAAACCAGCUAGUUUGGAGAAUAUGCUUUAACCAAGUUGCAUCAGAAUCUCUGAUGACAACACCAAUCCUCAUAGGACCCAUGUUGCCAUGGAGCAAUCAUCAGAGGUGGGAUCUGCUCAACCCUCUAAAGUCUCAUACAACCUGUGCAUACAUCUCCAAUUUAGUAGAAGUGGUACUAAACAGAAUGCCUGAGAAAUCUUUAGUAACUGAAUCCCACAUGAAGGCCUAGAACAACUGCUCCAUAAAUCUCCAUUUAUCCUUUAAAAAAAUCCUAAAAUUUCUCUCUAGGCAAAUAACCUUGAGGAUGAUAAUCAAAGCUCCCUGUCAAAGCACCUUCUCAGUUACAGUUGUUCUGAGAACCCAUAAAGGCAACAGCUUCAUGUCUGCCACCUCAGGGGACAAAAAACAUUGGCUGGCUGAAAUGCUAAAGAAACUUUCACAUAAGAGCUCUAUUCCUAACAGGGGCUCUACAAGGCCUACCCUAACUUCACUCUUUUACUUACAAACUUUGAUUCCAAUCUAUUGUGGGAUGUCUCAUACCUCCCUGAUACCAUCUAGAGAAAAUCAUGGUGGAUUUUCUUAAAUCCUAGCCAGAACGAACAAAGUUUGUUUUAGAGGUGGGAAGGUGGUAUGUGGAAAUUUCGCGAGAUGGGACUGGACUAGAGUAAUUCUACACCCCAAGGAUAAGACAGGCAUCUUCCAGCCAUCUAGUCUCUCAAAGAUUCUUUCUAGAACUGGAUGCCAAAGGAGGUCAACCUAGGAUUCUCCGUAAAGGGAGACAGAGUAGAGACAAUAAUCUGUAUCUUGUCCUACAUCCCAGACAAGAAAUGAGCCUAGCCAGAUGCUCCUUCAUAAGACAAUAGCCAGUUGCUACUCACUCAAAAUGCUUCUGGAUAGUGUUAAUAACACUUUUUUUUUUUUCUUUUUUUGUGUAUAAAUUUAGUUUAAGCUCUUCACCUGUCUAAAGAUUUUUAGAAUGAGUUUGAUGUUAAAUUAAUCCUCUGCAACAGCCCCAAAGAAGAAUAUGUUAUGAUCAACCAAAUUGAAGAUGGGGUACUCUAAUGCAGGUCUUCCUGGCGUCCAAACCAUUAAUGAGUCAGUGGCCUUUGGCCUUAAUCUUCAAUUGUAAGUGAGGAAGGUAGUGUCUUGGGAAAACUAUGAUAAUGUACUGUCAAAUUCUAAUGUAAAAUUGGGUUCAGAAUAUUUAAGCUUCUUUCACCUUUGAAUGCUGUCAAAACAAGCAUGCUAACAUAAAAUCUGAGUGCAUUAUGUGCGCUGUAAGAUUGAGUCAACUGAACUCUAGGGAGCUAUGUAAGGGAUAAUCAUAUGCUAAAUAGGAUUUUUUUUGUCAGAAAAUGCUAUUUACUGUGGGACAUACCUGAUUACGUUAUUAUUGAAAUUUAGAAUUAAUGAGUUCAUAUAGAACAAAUGAAAAAUGGUAGUUUGAAUAACAGUGCUAUGAAACAAUAAUAUCAUCCCAAACUUAUCAAAAAAUAAAAACAAAAAUGUUUAUGCCAUCCCUAAUUUGUCUUAUUCUCAAUCCUUUAAUCUCCUGGACUGGGGCUAUAUAAACUGGGAUAUGAAUAUGCAUAGGUUUAAAAGGUUCAGUAAGAGUAAGAAUAUUUAGGAAGAUCUUGCUUUCAGUAGUGUUAGAUUGAUUACUUAUUAGUUGAUAUUUGAUAUACUCUUCCAAGGUUUUUCAUUGCUCAUGAUCUGGUUAGUCGUGUUGUUUGUUCAUAGUCCAGAGGAAAUGGGUGCUUCAGGAUCCUAUGUAGGAUACGCACUUUAAAUGAGACACUGCAUUAAGAUGAGGGUGACAAGAAGUUUUUGUGUUCUUAUAUAUUAACUAGGAUCCUGUUAAUAAAAUUAUGUUCACUUUGAAUUGCAGAUAUUGGGAAAAGGAGAAGGUUUGGCUAGAUUGCAGGCCAGUCACAUGAACCCAUUAGUCGAUGAGGAGAAAACUAUGGCAUUAAGCAUGCACCUCAAGCUAAGAAUGUCCUUAAGCACUGUGCUUUUCCCUGCUCCCAUCCCACCUCCCAUAAAGAGUAGCACUGGACUUCUAUUGCUGUGAGCGACUGGAACCAUCACAUCCGUACAUUCUGAAUCAUCAUUUGCUGCAAGCCUGAUCACUUUCAUCUCCUCCACCAAGUGGAAUGCAAAGUAGCUGAUGAUGCAUCUCUCGAACUCCUCCACCAGCUUUAUAAACAAAGAGUCUCCAUCCAAUUCGGUGUCAAAGAAUGUAUAGAUAUUCUCCUCACAUCCUUCUGAUUUCCGGGCAUAAUCGGAGGCCAACUUGCAGAGCUGAGGACAUUCUCUUCUGUCUGCAAAUCCUAUUUGCCUUGCUGCAUGCACGAGGGACAGGGAAAUUAAAAAGCUUGAAAGGAGGAUCCAAAUAGGAAUGCAUCAUGGGAGGAAGAGGAAGAGGAAGAUCGAAGAAGAAGAAGAAGAAGGUGGAUCAGAUGGUUAUAUACCUACAUAAUGGGAGAACCUCUCUAGCUUGACCUGCCCAGUAUCUGUUAUCUUCAUAUGUGGAACAAUCUUCAGACACCUCCUAAAACGAAAGUGCAUCAAUGCAGCAAUGAUGAAGCCGAUGACAGAGGCUAUGAGGAUCUGUGUGAAAGUAGAGUUGCCCUUGUCAUCUGAAAGGGAAGAAGAAGAAGUUGAUUAUCACAAUCACAUUUACCCCUUGUUUCCAUGCAUGACAUGACAAUACCUAUAUUUAUUUUUACGAUUAGAGAGACAAGAAUGGAUUGUGUUGUUUGAGACUCACCGUUCUGCAUGUCUGAGAAAUUGAAGGAGAGGUAAAAGAGAGAAUUGUGUUUUAGAGUGUUCUGUUGAGAAAAUGAGAAACAGAUUCAUCGGUUUUAUUUGUUUCGGGACACGUAUUCCAGUGAGCGAUGGAAUAGUGGUUUUACCAUCAAUUCUCAAGAUUUUUGAACGA